Molecule: ribosomal RNA, 768 nt
Filed under: Botrucnidifer sp. 1 ACFM-2019
Lineage: Eukaryota; Metazoa; Cnidaria; Anthozoa; Spirularia; Botrucnidiferidae
Description: partial large subunit ribosomal RNA
Rfam family: Bacterial large subunit ribosomal RNA
Source: RNAcentral
AGUAUAGGAGGUGAAGCCUGCCCUAUGGUUGUAUCUGAAANUAAUAACAAAGGAGUUANUUUAUAAAGACAAUUUAAUGGCCGCGGUAUACUUGACUGUGAAAAUGUAGCGCAAUCAAUCGUCNAUUAAUUGUUGACAAGUAUGAAUGGCGUCACGAGUGCUUGACUGUCUUAAGAAAAAACCCAAUGAAAUUGAAUUCGUAGUUAAGAUGCUACGUAAUUUUGUAAGACGAAAAGACCCUAUUAAGCUUUACUGGGCGCUUAUCUUGUCUUAAGUAAUAGAAGGAAGAGAUGGGAAUUGAAAAAUAAAAAGAAAAGAAAAUAAGGAUCAAGAAAUUGAUAGAAAAGGCUUAUCAAAUACAUAUGUCAAUUAAAUUAAAAUCUUUUUUUUAUAGGUUUUCACCACACCAUCAAAAUANAAUGAAAGACAANNNNNCCAUCGAANGAAUGUAGUUGUAUGUUAGACAGUUUAGUUGGGGCGACUCCCUUAAAAAUGAUAACUAAGGGGCACUAAGGUAAUAAANNNNNGAGCUUGACUGUUAGAGGGCCCUCAAACAGACACGAAAGUGGGUAAAAAUCGACCCGUUAAUAAAAGUGGAGUUGUUAACGAUAAACUAAUAAAAGUUACUAUAGGGAUAACAGCGUAAUAUUGUUAGAGAGUUCACAUUAACAACAAUGUUUGCGACCUCGAUGUUGAAUUGCGGCAUCCUAUGGGUGUAGGAGCUCUUAAGGGUUAGUCUGUUCGACUAUGAAAGCCUUACAUGAUUUG